Molecule: ribosomal RNA, 397 nt
Filed under: uncultured bacterium
Lineage: Bacteria
Description: partial 16S ribosomal RNA
Rfam family: Bacterial small subunit ribosomal RNA
Source: RNAcentral
AUACGUAGGUGACAAGCGUUAUCCGGAUUUACUGGGCGUAAAGGGCGUGUAGGCGGUCUUGCAAGUCAGAAGUGAAAUUCCUGAGCUCAACUCGGGCGCUGCUUCUGAAACUGCAGGACUUGAGUGCUGGAGGGGAUAGCGGAAUUCCUAGUGGAGCGGUAAAAUGCGCAGAUAUUAGGAAGAACACCGGUGGCGAAGGCGGCUAUCUGGACAGUAACUGACGCUGAGGCGCGAAAGCGUGGGGAGCAAACAGGAUUAGAUACCCUGGUAGUCCACGCCGUAAACGAUGAGUGCUAAGUGUUGGAGGGUUUCCGCCCUUCAGUGCUGCAGCUAACGCAUUAAGCACUCCGCCUGGGGAGUACGGCCGCAAGGCUGAAACUCAAAUGAAUUGACGGGG